GAGGAGUUCCUGCACUGAUCAGGAAUCUCCUCAGCGUUACAGCAGAGCGCAGCAAAGCCUCAGCAGCUGGAGUAGUGAAGUAAUGUCUGUGCACUGAUUAGCAUGUCUGCAUUCCAUGACUCCUAAAACAUGGCCACCAUCACAAGUAACCAAUGCGAGCAUCACUUGAAUCCCACCGAUCAUUUGACACUGAGCCCGAGCUGCAGCCGGACCUGAACGUACAUCCGGAAACAUGUCAAUGGAAGUGGGGCAGCCGGAUCUAGCCGCUUGGCUAGAAACACGUUAUUGGAGAUGGGGCAAGAUUGAAAAAUACAGGAGCCACGUCGCCUCCCUAAAAUGGAGGUGGGGCGGUGGUGCAUGCCCAAUAGAGCCCUUGCGGAUUCAGGAAGUGUGGCAGAAGUGACACAAAUUAAUAAACUAGACUUUAUCACAUCA
Long non-coding RNA from Pseudophryne corroboree (corroboree frog), 435 nucleotides. RefSeq lists it as uncharacterized. The record is from RefSeq and is a predicted model, not a curated record. The transcript has 2 exons. Lineage: Eukaryota; Metazoa; Chordata; Amphibia; Anura; Myobatrachidae.